AGACAAAGAGGAAAAAGAAGUUCCGACAAACAGAUACGGAAAAGUAAUACUGGAAAAAGGAAAGGAACUAAAAAUUAGGAAACAAUUAAACCAAGAAGAAAAAGGAAGGUUAAAAGCAGUACUAAGAAAGAAUCUGGAUAUAUUUGCAUGGGAUAUAAGUUAGAUCACAGGAAUAGAAAGAAAUGUUAUAGAGCAUAGAUUAUGCACGAAUCCCAAAGGAAACCCGAUCAAAAAAAGACUACGAACGUUAGGUCCAGAAAGAAGAACAACCAAAGUAGAAAUCGUAAAACUUCUUCAUGCUGGCUUUAUUAGGGAAGUAAAGUACCCAAAAUGGCUCUCCAAUAUCGUAAUGGUGAAAAAACAAGAUGGUGGAUGGAGGAUGUGCGUAGAUUUUACAAACCUUCAAUAGAUAUCCAUUACCUUCAAUAGAUACCCUAGUAGAUAGAAGUGUUAGAAAUAAAAUAUUAAGUUUCAUAGAUGCAUAUUCAGGUUAUAAUCAGGUAAAAAUGUGCAAAGAAGACGAAGAAAAAACUUCAUUCAUAACAAAAAUGGGUACUUUCUGUUAUAUAGUGAUGUCAUUCGGUCUAAAAAAUGCAGAAGCCACUUUUCAAAGAUUAGUAGAUAAAGUAUUCAAAGAGCAGAUUGAAAAAAAUAUGGAAGUUUAUGUAGACGACCUUUUAGUCAAAUCUAAAAAAGUGAGUGAACAUUGGGGAGAUGUAGAAUCCACAUUCAAAAGAAUCAAGAAAUCAGGAAUAAAAUUAAAACCAGAAAAAUGUACCUUCGGGGUCACCGAAGGAAAAUUUCUUGGUUAGUUUCACCGGCAUAAAGCCACACCCAGAAAAAAUUGAGGCCAUAAUAAACAUGAAACUACCCAAGAAUUUAAAAGAACUACAAAGAUUGAAUGGUAAAGUAGUGGCAUUGGGUAGAUUCAUACCAAAAAAUACCGAAAGGUAUUGACCCUUCUUUAAGAUCCUAAAAAAUCCAGGUAAAUAUAUAAAUUGGGAUGAAAAGUGUGAUGAAGCUUUCAAAGAAUUGAAGAAAACCUUGGAAGAAUUACCCAUAUUACAUCACCCAAACCCUUUAAAUCCACUCUACAUGUAUGUCUCAUGCUCUGAAAAAUCAAUUAGUGCAAUCCUAGUCACAGAAAGUGGUGGGAUUCAAAACCCAGUAUUUUACCUAUCCAGAACACUGCAGGGAGCAGAUUUUAGAUAUCCUCUAUUGAAAAAAUUAGCCUUAGCUAUUGUGAUAAGUGCCAAGAGGCUAAGAAUCUAUUUUCAGACAUAUCAAAUAAUAAUACCAACUAGCUACCCGCUCCUCCAAACACUUAACAAGCCAGAUGUAUUAGGAAGACUGGCUAAAUGGGCUAUAGAGCUAAGCGGGUAUGACAUUAAAUUUAUCCCAACAAAAACUAUAAAAGUUCAAGUCUUAGCAGAAUUGACUUCGGAAUCCAAAAUAGAGGAAGAGGAAGAAGAAAUGUGGAGUAUGAAAGUAGAUGGUUCGAUAGGAAAAAGUGGUUGCGAGGCAGGAAUCGUCCUGGAAAAUAAAGAAGAAUUACAAUUAGAACAUGUUGUUCACUUUGAUUUUCAGGCGACAAACAAUGUAGCAGAAUACGAGGCAGUAGUAGCAGGAUUGGAAAUAGCAAAAGAAUUGGGAAUUAAGAAUUUAAAAGUAUACACAGAUUCCCAACUAGUAGCCAACCAGGUAAAAGGAAAUUAUGAAAUCAAGGAACAAAACCUGAAAGAUUAUAAAGAAUUAGUAGUGAAAUUAAUGAAGAGUUUUAAGACAGUUAAAUUAAACUUGGUAAAGAGAGAGUUUAUUGAGGAAGUAGACGCAUUAGCUAAGCUAGGUGCAGCAAAGAGUAUAAAACAUGACAAAUGGAUUCAGGUAAGAACAUUGCCAUUCUCAUCCAUCCAGUACAACAAAGAAAAUUUGGAAAUAAGUUCAGAAGUAGCAGAUUGGAGAUCGAAAAUAAAGAACUUCAUUUUAGGAACUGAAAUACCAGACAAUAAAUUAGAAUUAAAAAAGGUCAGAAACUAAGCGACACAUUACGUAUUAUUAGAAGAAGACUUAUACAGAAGAGAGGUAAGAACAAGAACUUUCCCACUUAGAAUAUGUGUUUGAACAGAGGAAGGCUGGGAAAUAGACAAAAGUAUACACGAAGGUGGAGGAGCCCACCAGAGUGGAAAAAAGUUAUACUUGCAGAUAUUUUUGGCCAACAAUUAUGGCAGAUACGAAAAGGAUAACUCGUGAAUGUCAAGAAUGUCAAAAAUACUCAGAUCUGCAGCAUUGUCCGUCAAAAAAAUUCACAUCACUUAACAUCCCUAUACCCUUUGCUAGAUGGGGAUUGGAUAUUAUUGGCCCUUUUCCUGUAGCUAACGGGAGAAGAAAAUACGCUUUUGUAGCAGUUGAAUAUUUCAUAAAAUGGGCGGAAGCAGAACCAGUCAAAUCAAUAACUCAAGAUAGAGCAGUCAAAUUUGUAUCAAAAACAUAAUCUGCAAAUUCGGAGUUCCGAUCUAGAUCAUUACGGACAACGACACUCAAUUCGCAGGAAAAGCAAUGAAGGCAUUUUGCAAAGACAUCAAUAACAAGCUAAGUUUCGCAUCAGUCCACCAUCCUCAUACUAACGGCCAGGUAAAGGCAGUCAACAAAGCAAUAAUCAAAAUUUUAAAGAGAAAGGCAGGAGACAAUCCAAAAACAUGGGUGAUAGAGACGAUACUUGUAAAGCAAAGAUUAUUGAAGAAGCUCGCUGGCAGUUGGAGCUGUUGUCGCCGGAAUCGUCCACUGGGGGAAAUGAAGAUCGAGAAACUCCAAACGAGGAGAAUGCGAGGGUGCCGGAUCGUCGACCAGAGCGCAAACGGGUCCUGUCAACCCGAUUGCAUGGAUAUGAUUUAAAUUAGGGAUUUCCGUUUUAUUUUAAAUUGAUAUGUUAAGUUGUACCGCAAGACUUGUAUUGCGUUAAGCUGUAGUUUAAGUAAAUGAGACCUAUAAAAGGGAAUAGCUGU
RNAcentral lists this long non-coding RNA (3002 nucleotides) under Zostera marina. RNAcentral's name for it is "long non-coding RNA (ZMAR_LNC003793)". Lineage: Eukaryota; Viridiplantae; Streptophyta; Magnoliopsida; Alismatales; Zosteraceae. The record is from RNAcentral.